UCGGAUGCAUACGAGACGGGACCCGCCAACCGUAUAACCAACGGAGAUACCGGUCUCUUGAUGACAUUGUUACUGCUAUUGCUAUCAUACUGAAUAACCACUCUUUCAGGAUUCUUGAAAAUCGGUGUUAUAAUAUUGACAUUGUCAUCUAUGUGAUGGGAUUGAACAAUCUGGAUCAAGCCUUCAUCCAUCAACCACUGGAUGUCCCUUUUCACAACCAUACAUCCUCAGGGAUUAACACUUCAAAUAG
This 250-nucleotide long non-coding RNA is filed under the name Lathyrus oleraceus (garden pea). RNAcentral describes it as "Pisum sativum (pea) long non-coding RNA (PSAT_LNC024838)". Lineage: Eukaryota; Viridiplantae; Streptophyta; Magnoliopsida; Fabales; Fabaceae. The record is from RNAcentral.